This 30-nucleotide non-coding RNA is filed under the name Mus musculus (house mouse). Lineage: Eukaryota; Metazoa; Chordata; Mammalia; Rodentia; Muridae. The record is from RNAcentral.
CACAUCAAGUGAUGUGCUUUAGCAAACUGU